This 2137-nucleotide long non-coding RNA is filed under the name Gossypium barbadense (sea-island cotton). Its description in RNAcentral is "long non-coding RNA (GBAR_LNC008922)". The record is from RNAcentral. Lineage: Eukaryota; Viridiplantae; Streptophyta; Magnoliopsida; Malvales; Malvaceae.
AAAAAUAAUUAAGCGGCCUUAUUACAUUUAAAAACCCAAACCUCAACGUAAAUAAUAGGAUGUCCAGUUCACCAGAAGAAAAACCAAACUUUCAGAACGGGUGGCCACUCCGAAUUCUUUCACAGCUCCAAGCCCACUAUGGUUGGGGAUUUCCUGCGUGUAUGAAAAUAAAAGGGGUGAGUUUGGGGAACUCAGUGUGUAAGGAAAACCCAUUCAAAGCCUAAGUCAGCUCAAGCCUAUUGGGCCUAAGCCCAUUCAGGUAACAGUGGUACAGGACCAGAGCCCUUUUCAGAUUACAAUAAACUCGGCCUUAGCCCCUUAUUCAGAUAACAGUAUGGCCCAUAGGCCCAUUUCAAAAUACAUGCAACAUCAAUAACAUAUGCAAGCCCAUUUGGGGAGACUACUCAACCCACCAACCACUACACUCCACCCGUACCAGCCCUACACUUCAUGUGGGGAAUAGCUCAACCCACCCAGCCCAACACUCCACAGUUGCAGCCUUGCUGCUCAGUUAACAGUAAAUUGAGGCAAAGCCUCCAAUACGUGGACAAGCCACUUUCAGUACUUCCUCCGUCAAUAUCCCAAUCCCAUGCAUCAGAUAAUAACAACAUGGCAUGCAGUAAAUAACAACAGUCAAACAUGCAUUUAGGUCAAUUUAACCCUAGGGGUAUUUCGGUAAUUUACCUACUAGGGGUAAAACUGUAAAUUUUCCACUUUUAAAGGUAUUUCAGUAAUUUAUCUAUUUUAGGGUUUUUGAUGCAUAUUCCUACUUUUCACGUACUAACAGAAUCACGUACCGAGGGUUCUUACCGAAUUGAGCCCGUUGGCCCAUCAUUCCAAUUUUGGCCCAUUAAGCCCAAAAAUAUCGAGGGCACAGAAAUCAUGCACUUUGCAGUCCAAAUUUUGCAGCUUACCAAAAACAUUAAUCGAUUUACCUCACGAGCAUUCGCACACUCGCAAAUCUACAAAAUACCGGUUUUCAACAUUUCGACUUUUCGACUUUUGCUGAUCCAGACUAAGAAAGAGGGUGUUAGUUACACACCUGUUUGCGACGAUAUGCUGACGAGAUCCACACACGAACUGCCUUCAAUUGGAUUACUAACACAUUAAUCUAACUAUUCAAAUACGAACUAUGUAUUAACCCCUUACAAUAUUCGGCCAACCACACCUACAGAUCAUAGUAAGCUUAUAAGAAAUCAAUAAGCAACUCAUUAACAAAUUUUUGUCAAUGUUUACCACAUAAUCAUAAUCUCACUAGAAGUUGUCUUCCUGAACAAUAGUCACUAAAUCAUUUAUAGCUGGAGCUACGAAACUCCAAAUCAAGUACCGUUAAUUUUACCUGAAAAUAGACUCAUAUAUCUUCUAUCCAUAAAAUUUUCAUAAUUUUUGGUUUAGCCAAUCAAUACCAGAUUUUUCUUACAUUUUCCUAUGUUUCACUGUUUGACUAAUCUGACCACUCUUCAUUAUGAAUCAAAUUUCUCAUUGUACAGAAUUCAAAAUAUGUUCUCGUUUAUUUCAUUUGAAACUAGACUCAUUAAGCUUUAAUUACAUAAUUUAUUCACCUGCUAAAUCAUCUCUCACAAUUUAUGGUGAUUUUCCAAAGUCACGUUACUGCUGCUGUCCCAAGCAGAUUUAUUACCAAAUCACUCUUUCACACAUAACUUGCAUGCAUGUUAUUUAAACAUGUAUAUCACCAAUCAAUCAUCAUAUAUCUAUGAUUUUACUUAAGUAUAAUCUCCAUUUCAUCAUUUUAAAGCACAACAUGUUAGCCGAUUUUUCCUUUUGGCAUCUAAGGCACAUGCAUGCUCAUUUGUUUGGCUCAACUUCACCUAUCUUCCAUUUUUCAUCAAAAGAACAUGAAACAACAACCAUUUCCUUCAUUUUAAUUUAUGACUAAAUGCUCACAACACAACUAAAAACCAAAAUAUGCUUCAAGAGUUAAGGUAGAAUCAAGAAGAACUCAUGAACAUCAAGAUAGAAGCAAACUACCAUGAACUUACCUUCAAUUUUCUUCCCCAAGUGACCGAACAUUCAAGAGCUUUCUCCUCUCCUUUCUCUUCUCUAACUUUCGGCUAUGAUGAACAAAGAUGGACAAAACUUUGUUCUUUUCACCCCUUUUUCUGUUAAUAAAAUUUCA